AUUUUUUGUUGUUGUUAGUAUGUUUUCAUCUUAGAAUUUUCUUUGCUGUAACUCUUUUCUUAUCCAGAAAUGUUCUUAGUCUCUGAUUAUCCCAUGAAUGACUGGUGUUCUUUCCUGCCAUUCAGAUCUUACCUUAAAUUGUCACUUCUACCAAGAAGCUUUCCUGACAACACAAUCUAACAAAUCUGUUUAGGACUUCCUCCAUAACAUCUCUAAUUUUCAGCAUGGGAUCCAUCUGACAUUUCUUCCCUCUUUCCAUUCUUUCUUCACUUCCUCCUUUCUGCCCACCUUUCCUACUAGAUUUCAAGUUCCAUGAGAGUUAGAACCUUGACUGUCUGAUGUCCUAUGGUAGCUUCAGCACAGAGGAGAGUAAGUGAUUCUUAAUAUUCCUCAGUAAAUAUUUUAAUUAAAUUAUAAAUAGAUGGAUAUUUGCUGCAUUAACAAUUACUUCUUAAAUGUGCUUGUUUUGUUGCCAAGCUUUUAACUUUUUUGUUUGUUUGUUUGUUUUUUGCACUGUAUCAAAGAGGAGCCAUUGAAGAAUACUGUUGUCCUAUCCCAGAAGGAGCAAGCGGACAACACUGAUAUCCUGACCACUAACCAUCCAGCACCACUUAAAGAGGUCCCAAAACCCCCAGCUGUCUACCAAUACCCGUCUGUGGCCUCUUAGGAACCGAGCUUCACAGCAGGAGGUGAAUGGUGGACAAGCGAGCAUUAUCGCCUCAGCUCCACCUCCUGUCAGUUUUAAAAAGAAUAACAGAAAGAAAGAAGUGGCUGAAACCUAAAUGCC
Molecule: long non-coding RNA, 787 nt
Filed under: Pan troglodytes (chimpanzee)
Lineage: Eukaryota; Metazoa; Chordata; Mammalia; Primates; Hominidae
Description: lincRNA
Source: RNAcentral